This 252-nucleotide long non-coding RNA is filed under the name Lathyrus oleraceus (garden pea). RNAcentral's name for it is "Pisum sativum (pea) long non-coding RNA (PSAT_LNC022702)". Lineage: Eukaryota; Viridiplantae; Streptophyta; Magnoliopsida; Fabales; Fabaceae. The record is from RNAcentral.
GUUGGCAUAGGGAUGAUUGGGAUGAUGCUGUAGCUUUAAGUCUUUGACAGAAAACUAGGAGGGCUGAUUGUCUGUAAUGUAUAAUUUGAAUAAAGAAAUUCUCUUUACAAGUUGGUAUUAUAUUAAAUCCAGUAACUUACUAAGAGCCAUUAUGGAACUAAAUUUAUAAGGAUAAAAAAUGUGAACAUAAUAAUAAACACUUUGUAGACAAAUGAAAUGUCAAUGAACAACUUUAGUUCAACUUACUUGUGG